Molecule: ribosomal RNA, 253 nt
Filed under: uncultured bacterium
Lineage: Bacteria
Description: partial 16S ribosomal RNA
Rfam family: Bacterial small subunit ribosomal RNA
Source: RNAcentral
UACGUAGGGUGCAAGCGUUGUCCGGAAUCAUUGGGCGUAAAGCGCGUGUAGGCGGCCAGAAAAGUCCGCUGUGAAAACUCGAGGCUCAACUUCGAGCUGUCGGUGGAAACUUUCUGGCUAGAGUCCGGAAGAGGAGAAUGGAAUUCCUGGUGUAGCGGUGAAAUGCGCAGAUAUCAGGAAGAACACCCGUGGCGAAGGCGGUUCGCUGGGACGGUACUGACGCUGAGACGCGAAAGCGUGGGGAGCAAACAGG